RNAcentral lists this ribosomal RNA (414 nucleotides) under uncultured bacterium. RNAcentral's name for it is "bacterial SSU rRNA". It matches the Rfam family "Bacterial small subunit ribosomal RNA", at positions 505 to 916 of the family's 1533-position model. The record is from RNAcentral.
UUGCCAGCCGCCGCGGUAAUACGGAGGGUGCGAGCGUUAAUCGGAAUUACUGGGCGUAAAGGGCGCGUAGGCGGUCGCGCAAGUCGGGUGUGAAAGCCCCGGGCUCAACCUGGGAAUUGCAUUCGAUACUGCGUAACUAGAGUCUGGUAGAGGGAAGCGGAAUUCCGCAUGUAGCGGUGAAAUGCGUAGAUAUGCGGAGGAACACCAGUGGCGAAGGCGGCUUCCUGGACCAAGACUGACGCUGAGGCGCGAAAGCGUGGGGAGCAAACAGGAUUAGAUACCCUGGUAGUCCACGCCCUAAACGAUGAGGACUAGACGUUGGGGGGAUAAAACCCUUUAGUGUCGCAGCUAACGCGUGAAGUCCUCCGCCUGGGGGAGUACGGCCGCAAGGUUGAAACUUAAAUGAAUUGACGG